Molecule: ribosomal RNA, 628 nt
Filed under: uncultured bacterium
Lineage: Bacteria
Description: bacterial SSU rRNA
Rfam family: Bacterial small subunit ribosomal RNA (bases 1-532)
Source: RNAcentral
CCUACGGGAGGCAGCAGUCGAGGAUCUUCGGCAAUGGGCGAAAGCCUGACCGAGCGACGCCGCGUGAGCGAUGAAGGCCAUUAGGUUGUAAAGCUCUGUCGAGGGGGAACAAGCCGCAAGGUCGAGUGAUCCCUGGAGGAAGCACGGGCUAAGUUCGUGCCAGCAGCCGCGGUAAGACGAACCGUGCGAACGUUGUUCGGAAUCAUUGGGCUUAAAGGGCGCGUAGGCGGGUGUUCAAGUCCGGGGUGAAAGCCUCCAGCUCAACUGGAGAAGAGCCCCGGAUACUGUUCACCUGGAGAGAGAUAGGGGCACAUGGAACUUCCGGUGGAGCGGUGAAAUGUGUAGAGAUCGGAAGGAACGCCGGUGGCGAAAGCGAUGUGCUGGAUCUUUUCUGACGCUGAGGCGCGAAAGCUAGGGGAGCAAACGGGGAUUAGAUACCCCGGGUAGUCCCUAGCCCUAAACGAUGGGUACUGGGUUGCGGGGUUCAGGACAUAGACUCGGCAGCGACGACAAAGUAGUUAACGUACCCGUCCGUCGGGUAGGUAGUGGUCGCGAGACGUGAAACGUUAAAGUAGUAAGUUAGUACGGUUCGUUGUAGACGUUGCCGACGGCGACGACGAGGGAGAGG